Molecule: non-coding RNA, 351 nt
Organism: Macaca mulatta (Rhesus monkey)
Lineage: Eukaryota; Metazoa; Chordata; Mammalia; Primates; Cercopithecidae
Source: RefSeq, a predicted model, not a curated record
UGGGUCUUUUGUUGUUUCUAUGGUUACCCUCCUUUUAGCACUGGCUUUGAUUUCUACCGGAAUCAUCUUGGGUUUACGGUGAGACUAGAGUGAUGGGGUGUUUGUUUCCAGGUCCUGCUGCACCCUCAGCUUCCAGCCUUCCAUGGGUGAACCUUCUUUGCCACUCUGGGCCUCCCCCUCCUGGCCCACAGCUCUACUUCUUGCUCCAAGUUUGCUGGUCAAGACGUGGGGGCUUGGAUAAUGGAUCCAACGUGACCAAGGAGUGACUCAUCCUUCUGCCUACUCCAUGCCCACACCCAUCCAGCUGAAUGCGGCUGGGGGAAAAUAAAUAGACCUUAGGUAGCUCUGAAA